AGCCCGUUUCUGCCUCGCUUCUUUGGAGGAAAAAGCAGGCAGAGCUGGUCCAUAAUCCUAGCUCCACUGCCCCCAACCUGCAAGACUCUCUGCAAGACCCUGUCCGGGCUCACUUUCCAGGACCUUGCUUGGAGCUUUCUGACACAGGAGAACUUCAAUCAAUAUUUAUUGAAUGAAUGUGUCCCUCCUGGUCCCAUCUCUACCUUUGAAAACUCGAGUCCCAAAUGGCGAAUGAAGAUCCUCAACAAUACGAGCCAUCCUCCUUCCUGAACGCUCUUAAUUAAAACCACAUCCAAAGCAUCUAAUGUUUCUCUCCCAGUUCUCUGUUCUGUUGUAUGUGUGUUCUUGGUUUCCAGUAGGUUCUGAAGUUCCCAUUGGGCACCAUUAAGAUCUACCUCUCCUCAGGUAGCCUUGUGAAGCCCGGGGACCUUCUUGGUGACUUUGUAUAUGGAACCCCAAACCAAAGCACUACUCAGAUGUCAGAGCCUGAGGAAACUAAUUCCAGAAAGCAUGGACAUCAUGGAAGACAUUUCUAAGCUUUUCAAACUGUAGGUUCCAUCUGGAAAAUCUCAAAAAUGUUGGCCACGUGGUGUAGUCCACAUUACAUAACCCAUGCCCGGCUCCCCUGCUUAUGUUCCCAAACGCUC
Molecule: long non-coding RNA, 647 nt
Filed under: Mustela putorius furo (domestic ferret)
Lineage: Eukaryota; Metazoa; Chordata; Mammalia; Carnivora; Mustelidae
Description: lncRNA (ENSMPUG00000027645.1)
Source: RNAcentral